Molecule: unclassified non-coding RNA, 392 nt
Filed under: uncultured Planctomycetia bacterium
Lineage: Bacteria; Pseudomonadati; Planctomycetota; Planctomycetia
Description: contains 16S-23S intergenic spacer region
Source: RNAcentral
UCCGGUUUAACACCGGCAGUCUCUCCAGAGUCCCCGACAUGACUCGCUGGCAACUGGAGACAGGGGUUUCGCUCGUUAUGGGACUUAACCCGACAUCUCACGACACGAGCUGACGACAGCCAUGCAGCACCUGUGGUAGGUCCCCCUUGCGGGUUCCCCUGGGUUUCCCCAGGGUACGCCUACCGCUUUCGCACAUGUCAAGCCCAGGAUAAGGUUCUUCGCGUAGCCUCGAAUUAAGCCACAUGCUCCACCGCUUGUGUGAGCCCCCGUCAAUUUCUUUGAGUUUCAGCCUUGCGACCAUACUCCCCAGGCGGGGUACUUAAUACUUUUGCUCCGGCUGUGAACCCACGUAAGCCCACAACCUAGUACCCAACGUUUAGGGCCAGGACUAC